UACAGAGGUCCCAAGCGUUGUUCGGAUUCAUUGGGCGUAAAGGGUGCGUAGGUGGCGUCGUAAGUCGGGUGUGAAAUUUCGGAGCUCAACUCCGAAACUGCAUUCGAUACUGCGGUGCUUGAGGACUGGAGAGGAGACUGGAAUUUACGGUGUAGCAGUGAAAUGCGUAGAGAUCGUAAGGAAGACCAGUGGCGAAGGCGGCCAUCUGGACGGAUACUGACGCUGAGACGCGAAAGCGUGGGGAGCAAACAGG
RNAcentral lists this ribosomal RNA (253 nucleotides) under uncultured bacterium. RNAcentral's name for it is "partial 16S ribosomal RNA". It matches the Rfam family "Bacterial small subunit ribosomal RNA", at positions 524 to 776 of the family's 1533-position model. The record is from RNAcentral.